Molecule: RNA transcript, 1378 nt
Organism: Bubalus bubalis (water buffalo)
Lineage: Eukaryota; Metazoa; Chordata; Mammalia; Artiodactyla; Bovidae
Gene: MRPL30
Gene name: mitochondrial ribosomal protein L30
Exons: 8
Source: RefSeq, a predicted model, not a curated record
GGGAGGGAGUCGGCUGGAACUAAAGUGCUGCAUUGUGUGUACGCAGUGUUACGGCCGAGUUUGAGUGUGGCACUCUGGGUUCUUCCUCGGCUCCUGUUCUCCUCAGUGGUUAACUUACGGCGGAGAGACUUAUAUCAACUGCUGGCAAGAACACUGGAGUGAAUUGCCAUUUCCUACUACUCCAAGGGAUCUUCCUGACCCAGGGAUCGCACCCACAUCUCUUGCCUCUCCUGCAUUGGCAGGCGGAUUCUUUACCUCUGCACCACCUGGGAAGCCCUGCAUUUAUUUUCCUGGCUUUUCAUCUGUCCGAGAGAAAGCCUCUGAGGAGAACAGCCACCACAUCCAUGGCAGGGAUUUUGCGCUCAAUAGUUCAGAGGCCCCCAGGGAGACUACAAACGGCAACAAAAGGUGUGGAACCUCUUGUUUGUACAGACUGGAUUCGUCACAAAUUUACGAGGUCAAGAAUUCCAGAUGAAGUUUUUCGGCCUUCACCUGAAGAUCAUGAAAAAUAUGGUGGGGAUCCACAGCAACCUCAUAAACUGCAUAUUGUUACCAGAAUAAAAAGUACAAAAAGACGUCCAUAUUGGGAGAAAGAUAUAAUAAAGAUGCUUGGGUUACAAAAAGCACACACUCCUCAAGUUCACAAGAAUAUCCCUUCGGUGAAUGCAAAGCUGAAAGUAGUUAAACAUUUGAUAAGAAUCAAGCCCCUGAAGCUGCCCCAGGGUCUCCCAACAGAGGAGGACAUGUCCAACACGUGCCUGAAGAGCACUGGCGAGCUGGUCGUGCGGUGGCUUCUGAACCCCGCGGACCAGGAAGCGAAGAAGUGCUGACGGCCCAGCAGCUUCAGAGUAAACAGUGGAAGUCAUUUCUAUUUAAAGAUGAUGAGAUUAAUGAAGACACCAGUCAUAAAGCCGUCUCUUUUUCCUGACAGCGUCCAAUCCUGAGCAACACCUGCUUCUUUGAACACUCAUCAAAAUCAUCUAAUAAAAGCCAAAUCCUGUAAAGUCCUUCCCAAAGAACUUUUUCUGAGAUGCAAUAAAGGGAACUUACCAAGCUCCACGUGUGUCUUUGGGUCUGUGGCGAGCCAGCACUCUCGAUGCUCAUUCUUUAUUUUUUGGCUGCGUCAGGUCUUAGUUGGGGCACUGUGUUGUGUCUUGCAGGUUCUUUCAUUGCAUUGCCUGGGCUCAAGAGUUGCAGCGUGGGCUUAGUUGCCCCAUGGUAUAUGGGAUCUUAGUUCCCUGACCAGUGGUUGAACCCAAGUCGCCUGCAUUGCAAGGUGGAUUCCACUGGACCGCCAGGGAAGUCCCCUGAUGCUAAUUCUUGUUGCUCUCAGGGUCUAAGCUGCUAGGAUCUCUCCUUAAGAUCAUUCCACUCAGCC